RNAcentral lists this ribosomal RNA (253 nucleotides) under uncultured bacterium. RNAcentral describes it as "partial 16S ribosomal RNA". It matches the Rfam family "Bacterial small subunit ribosomal RNA", at positions 524 to 776 of the family's 1533-position model. The record is from RNAcentral.
GACGAACCGUCCAAACGUUAUUCGGAAUUACUGGGCUUAAAGGGUGCGUAGGCUGCUCUGUAAGUCGGGUGUGAAAUCCCUCAGCUCAACUGAGGAAUUGCGCUUGAUACUGCAGUGCUCGAGGGAGAUAGGGGUUAGCGGAACUGAUGGUGGAGCGGUGAAAUGCGUUGAUAUCAUCAGGAACACCGGUGGCGAAAGCGGCUAACUGGAUCGCUUCUGACGCUGAGGCACGAAAGCGAGGGGAGCGAACGGG